GAUGAACGCUGGCGGCGUGCCUAAUACAUGCAAGUCGAGCGAACACACGAGGAGCUUGCUCCUCUGCCGUUAGCGGCGGACGGGUGAGUAACACGUGGAUAACCUACCUCUAAGACUGGGAUGACUUCGGGAAACCGGAUCCAAUACUAGCUCAUAUAUCGAACCGCAUAGAUCAAUAGUUAUACACGCUUUUCCUGACACUUUUAGAUGAAUCCGCGCCGCAUUAGCUAGUUGGUAAGGUAACGGCUUACCAAGGCAACGAUGCGUAGCCGACCUGAGAGGGUGAUCAGCCACACUGGAACUGAGACACGGUCCAGACUCCUACGGGAGGCAGCAGUAGGGAAUCUUCCGCAAUGGGCGAAAGCCUGACGGAGCAACGCCGCGUGAGUGAUGAAGGUCUUCGGAUCGUAAAACUCUGUUAUUAGGGAAGAACAAAUGUGUAAGUAACUAUGCACGUCUUGACGGUACCUAAUCAGAAAGCCACGGCUAACUACGUG
This 497-nucleotide ribosomal RNA is filed under the name uncultured bacterium. RNAcentral describes it as "partial 16S ribosomal RNA". It matches the Rfam family "Bacterial small subunit ribosomal RNA", at positions 28 to 507 of the family's 1533-position model. The record is from RNAcentral.